This 401-nucleotide ribosomal RNA is filed under the name Scoloposcelis albodecussata. RNAcentral describes it as "partial 16S ribosomal RNA". Lineage: Eukaryota; Metazoa; Arthropoda; Insecta; Hemiptera; Anthocoridae. The record is from RNAcentral.
GCCGCAGUAUUUUAACUGUGCAAAGGUAGCAUAAUCAUUUGCUUUUUAAUUGGAAGCUGGAAUGAAAGGGUUGAUGAGGUAUAUACUUUUUUAAUUUUAAUGUUUUGAAUUUUAUUUUUGAGUUAAAAAGCUUAGAUUUUUUUAUUAGACGAUAAGACCCUAUAGAACUUUAUUUUUUUUAUUUAAUUAAUUUUUAGUUUAUUAUUUUUGAUUUAAAAGGUGAGAAUUUAGUUGGGGUGACUUUUAGAUUUUACUAACUCUAUUUUAUGAUUGUCAUUGAUUUAUGUUUUAUUGAUCCUGUUUUAUAGAUUAAUAGGUUAAGUUACCUUAGGGAUAACAGCGUGAUUUUAUUUGAGAGUUCAUAUUAAUAAUAAAGUUUGCGACCUCGAUGUUGGAUUAAA